Girardinichthys multiradiatus is the source of this 579-nucleotide non-coding RNA. Lineage: Eukaryota; Metazoa; Chordata; Actinopteri; Cyprinodontiformes; Goodeidae. The record is from the annotation of a RefSeq genome assembly.
UUUGUGUGUGUCAACAGACUUAAUAUAUGAUCAAUUGUAAUUUAUUAAGUCUGUGCCCUGUAAAGAAUCUAAACCUACAGGGACAUUUGGUAUCUUUAUUUUGGUCAGAUUUUAAGCAUCCUCUGUUGGUAUUUCAGUUAUUUUGAGGGUUAGGGUGUCUGGAGCGGUGUAGUGGUGGACCCCAGAAUGCAGACGACAGCAAGCAGCGGUGGUGCCUCCCAAAGCGACAAAGUUCGACAGUAUCCAGCGGAAAUUUAUGGAUCUCCUGACAGUGAAGCUAAAAUUAAUUGUUCACAUAAUGAUAAUACCUUCACCCGAAUCCUCUGGUACAAGCAAUCGGCUAAAGACCUCCAGCUCCUGGGAUACAUGUUUGCAGGCGCUGGAAAGCUAGAGGAAGGAGUGAACAUGGCAAUUAAAGGGGGAGCAAAUAAAGAUGAAACCUGCACAUUAACGAUUGAAGGACUCAACCUGAACAGCAGUGCAGUUUACUUCUGUGCUGCUAGUCUUCACAGUGUUUCAAAUGGCUGCUUCUCAAUACAAAAACCUCUUGAUCUUACGAUUGUGUUCUUCACUCAUUGA